GACGAACGCUGGCGGCGUGCUUAACACAUGCAAGUCGAACGGAAAGGCCCUGCUUUUGUGGGGUGCUCGAGUGGCGAUCGGGUGAGUAACACGUGAGUAACCUGCCCUUGACUUUGGGAUAACUUCAGGAAACUGGGGCUAAUACCGGAUAGGAGCUCCUGCUGCAUGGAGGGGGUUGGAAAGUUUCGGCGGUUGGGGAUGGACUCGCGGCUUAUCAGCUUGUUGGUGGGGUAGGGGCUUACCAAGGCUUUGACGGGUAGCAGGCAUGAGAGGGUGACCGGACAGAUUGGGCCUGAGAUACGGCCAAGAGUGCUACGGGAGGCAGCAGGGGGGAAUAUUGCACAAUGGGCGGAAGCCUGAUGCAGCAACGCCGCGUGCGGGAUAACGGCCUUUGGGUUGUAAACAGCUCUCGCCUGUGACGAAGCGUGAGUGACGGUAAUGGGUAAAGAAGCACCGGCUAACUACGUG
This 468-nucleotide ribosomal RNA is filed under the name uncultured bacterium. Its description in RNAcentral is "partial 16S ribosomal RNA". It matches the Rfam family "Bacterial small subunit ribosomal RNA", at positions 28 to 507 of the family's 1533-position model. The record is from RNAcentral.